RNAcentral lists this non-coding RNA (814 nucleotides) under Craspedortha porphyria. Lineage: Eukaryota; Metazoa; Arthropoda; Insecta; Lepidoptera; Sphingidae. The record is from RNAcentral.
AAAAUUCUAUGUUAAAAAAUUGUCUAAUAAAAUAAAUUUUUUAUGGUUUAAAAAUUUUAUUUUAAAUUUAUUUUACAUAUAAAUUUUAGUGUUAUUUAUUAAUUAUUUAGAUAAUAAUUAUUUUAUAUUUGUAGUAAUUAAUUUUAAAAAUUUAAGAAAUUAAGAUUUAGUAAUAUUAAAAUUAAUAACUAAUUUUGUGCCAGCAGUUGCGGUUAUACAAAAAUUGAUUUAAAAUUUUUUAGUAAUUAAUUAAUAUUUUUUUUUUAGAUAUAAUAAAAAUUUUAAAUUGUAAGGUAAAAUUUAAAUUUAAUAAAAAUUUAUAUUAUAAUUAUGAUUUAAUAAAUUUAAUUUAAAAACUAGGAUUAGAUACCCUAUUAUUAUAAAUUUAAAUUAAUAAUACUUAAAUAGUAGAUAAUUAUUUAUUGAAACUUAAAUAAUUUGGCGGUAUUUUAGUUCAUUUAGAGGAAUCUGUUUAAUAAUUGAUAAUCCACGAAUAAAUUUACUUAAUUUAAUAUUUUGUAUAUCGUUGUUAAAAAAAUAUUUAAUAAUAAUUAAUAAUAUUUUAAAAUUUUAAUUAAAAAUUAAAUCAGAUCAAGAUGCAGAUUAUAAUUAAGAAUAUAAUGGAUUACAAUAAAUUUAUUUAAAUUGAAUUUUAAUAUGUAAUAGUUAAAUGAAAUUGGAUUUAAAUGUAAUUUUAUUUAUAUUAAUAAAAUGAUUAUAAAUUAAAAUAUGUACAUAUUGCCCGUCGCUUUCAUUUAUAAAUUGAAAUAAGUCGUAACAAAGUAGAGAUACUGGAAAGUGUUUCUAGAAAGAU